UGAAGCCUAAUACCUAGUAUUGGGUGGAAAGUGGCGAACGGGUGAGUAACACGUUGGUGACCUGUCCCGAGGAGGGGGAUAACCGUGGGAAACCACGGCUAAUACCCCAGAUGUCUAGGUUGUUAGAGGACCUAGGCCAAAGCUCCGGCGCCUUGGGAGGGGCCUGCGGGCUAUCAGCUUGUUGGUGGGGUAACGGCCUACCAAGGCUAAGACGGCUAGGGGGCGUGAGAGCGCGACCCCCCACAAUGGAACUGAGACACGGUCCAUACUCCUACGGGAGGCAGCAGUGAGGAAUAUUGCGCAAUGGGGGCAACCCUGACGCAGCAACGCCGCGUGGACGAUGAAGGCCUUCGGGUUGUAAAGUCCUUUUUUGGGGGACGAUAAUGACGGUACCCCAAGAAUAAGUCCCGGCUAACUACGUGCCAGCAGCCGCGGUAAAACGUAGGGGGCGAGCGUUAUCCGGAUUUACUGGGCGUAAAGCGCACGUAGGCGGCGCUGUAAGUUGGACGUGAAAGCUCUCGGCUUAACUGGGAGAGGUCGUUCAAUACUGCGGUGCUCGAGGUUGNAAGAGGAGAGUGGAAUUCCCGGUGUAGUGGUGGAAUGCGUAGAUAUCGGGAGGAACACCAGUGGCGAAGGCGGCUCUCUGGUCCACACCUGACGCUGAGGUGCGAAAGCGUGGGGAGCGAACGGGAUUAGAUACCCUGGUA
Molecule: ribosomal RNA, 707 nt
Filed under: uncultured bacterium
Lineage: Bacteria
Description: bacterial SSU rRNA
Rfam family: Bacterial small subunit ribosomal RNA
Source: RNAcentral